RNAcentral lists this non-coding RNA (201 nucleotides) under Planctomycetaceae bacterium. RNAcentral's name for it is "6S RNA". It matches the Rfam family "6S / SsrS RNA". From Rfam's summary of the family: E. coli 6S RNA was the first non coding RNA to be sequenced, but its function was unknown until recently. It consists of 184 nucleotides that fold into an extended hairpin structure with a large single-stranded internal bulge. The 6S RNA specifically associates with RNA polymerase holoenzyme containing the sigma70 specificity factor. The record is from RNAcentral. Lineage: Bacteria; Pseudomonadati; Planctomycetota; Planctomycetia; Planctomycetales; Planctomycetaceae.
AGACCUCUGCGGUGUUCGACACCGGAUCAAUAUCUGCCGACCCGACUACAGUCCGCAGGGAUUCGUGAGUCUGCAACAGCGUGUAUAUCUGCGGUUCGUCCUUUGAGGCGAAUUGACAGCUCCCACAAGUUGUGGCGGCGAUGCCCACCUUAAUCUGCGGGUCUGUGCAAAUCAGAUCCCCCGGCAUUCAGCGGAGGUUCU